CCGCACUCAGCAACAGUCCUUUACUACCCACUCAUUCACAACCAGAAAGAUGGUUAAUCAAUAACCAUGACAUUUAAUGUCGAACUGUAUAAACCAGUGGCGCUGUGCUUCAUCCCUCCAGCACAUGCUCAAAUCUGCAAAGAAAAAAAAUCUUUCUGUCAAAUUAAAUGGAGUUUGAAGUGGGUUACAGGCCUCCCAAGUGGCGAGCAUUUCGACUUGAACGGUGACAGAUUCGCCGCCGCAAAGCAGGAUGGGUAAGAAUGGGACGCUGAAAGUAUGGCGGAUGGAGAAGAGCCGGAAAAGAAAAGAAGGAGAAUAGCGGCGCUGACUGAGAAGUUAGUGAUGAAAUGCUAAGAGCUGGCUGCAGCAUGGCAGUUGAAGGUUGCAGUAUUGGUGACUGGGAUGGCCGCUGGAGUCAUGUGCAGAAGUUCCUGGAGAGAACUGGCCCCUUCACACACCCAGACUUUGAACCUAGUG
This is a long non-coding RNA of Sinocyclocheilus rhinocerous, 477 nucleotides long. RefSeq lists it as uncharacterized. Lineage: Eukaryota; Metazoa; Chordata; Actinopteri; Cypriniformes; Cyprinidae. The record is from RefSeq and is a predicted model, not a curated record. The transcript has 4 exons.